Quercus robur (English oak) is the source of this 1487-nucleotide long non-coding RNA. RefSeq lists it as uncharacterized. The record is from RefSeq and is a predicted model, not a curated record. NCBI's taxonomy places the organism in Eukaryota, Viridiplantae, Streptophyta, Magnoliopsida, Fagales, Fagaceae. The transcript has 2 exons.
GAGUGUGAAGACUCACGCUUAAAUUGAAGAACAAGUGGAUUUCGCGAGAAGUUCAUGAGAAGCUAUCCUGCGAAGUAGCCAUGUGUAGAGCACAUGACUGAAAUGUGAAGAGUCAUGACAGCCUAGAGUUUUCAUGAAUGUCUCGCAAAUGUCUCCUCUCAAGCAAUCGGCCACAAAGAAGUCCUCAAAGCCCCAACGCACUUCCAUGGAUAAAUUCUGAACCGAUGAUGCGGACAUGGCCUACAACGACUACUACAAAAGGGCUCUGAUCAUCCUAGAACAGACUGUGGAGUUAGAAUCCCUUGAAAACACUUUCAUUCCUGAAGUGUUCAAAGAACGGACGUGGACAAGGUUGAUGCACCUAAUUGGGAAUGUCUAUGCCGAUGUUAUUAGGGAGUUCUAUGCUAAUGCUGUUGUGGAAGGGGAGCGUAUCAACUGCUAGCUGAGGGGGAGAGAGUUCUAUGUCACACGAGAGUCCAUCCAAGAGAUCUUGGAGGUUCGUCCAAUGACCUCACACACAUCUCUCCACUAUGAUGAGAGAAGGGGCUCACUUGUACCACUUGUGGACAUCCUUGGUGGUGAAAUCAGAAAGAACGCAGUGAACACCAUUCCAUUCACCCUAGGGAUGAGGACAUUGGUCUACAUCAUGAUCUUCAACCUCUACCUGGCGAAGAAUUUGACUACAUUGUCAGCACCAAAGGCCAUUUUUCUGCUUGAUCUCUUCACACACAAGGAGAUCAACAUUUGCAGUUACAUCUACUACCUCUUCACCAAGUGCAUCACAAAGAGGAAUUCGAGGUUGGUCUUGCCAUUUUCAAGUCUCGUCAUGGCUCUUAUAGCAAGGGCAAGGGUGAAGAUUCCUAGUGGUCUUCCCGUGAUGCAAAGGGAUUAUCCAAUUAAUGCUCAGACCAUGACCCGAAGCAAAGCCCAUAUCACCGGACCAUCUGUUGGUAUUUCUCAAAUCCCAAGGGACAAUGUUGAGGAAGAAGGUGGGGACAUGGAAGAAUAGAUAGAGAGGUUCACAUCAGCUCCAGAGGACAUUGCACAACCCUCUUCUAAAGCACGUGCAUGGGCACCCGAUCAUCUUAAUCAUCUCAUUGCAAGGGUUGAAUAGAUAUAUGGUAUGCUAGAAUCCCAUGUGCAACACUCCACAACUCAAUUCACCUACCUAGAAGGCCAGAUCACUGCACUCUCGUCUCAGAUUGACGAUAUGAUGAUGGACCAAUAGCGGCAGCAGGAGGAGGACUCGGAUUUGGAAUUCGCACAGUUCUAACCUCUUUGGCCAUUCCGGUCAAAAAGGGGGAGUAGUUUGAGGGGGAGUAGCAUAGCUUGAAGGGGAGCAUAGAGUAGCAUAUCAUAGAGCAUUGGUUCAUUUUGGUGGUUUAGUAGUUUACUUUUUAAAGUUUUUAUAACUUAUGGAUAUUUACAUUGCUUUCUUUUAAAGCUUUAAAGUACUUUAGUUUAAAUUCAAUUUAUCUUUAGUACUA